RNAcentral lists this transfer RNA (73 nucleotides) under Ovis aries (sheep). It matches the Rfam family "tRNA". From Rfam's summary of the family: Transfer RNA (tRNA) molecules are approximately 80 nucleotides in length. Their secondary structure includes four short double-helical elements and three loops (D, anti-codon, and T loops). The record is from Rfam by way of RNAcentral. Lineage: Eukaryota; Metazoa; Chordata; Mammalia; Artiodactyla; Bovidae.
UCUCUGGUGGUCUGGUGGUUAAAACUCCACACUCCCAAUGCAGAGGCUGCAGGUUCAAUUCCUGGUCAGGGAA